GACGUUACUCGCAGAAGAAGCACCGGCUAACUCCGUGCCAGCAGCCGCGGUAAUACGGAGGGUGCAAGCGUUAAUCGGAAUUACUGGGCGUAAAGCGCACGCAGGCGGUCUGUCAAGUCGGAUGUGAAAUCCCCGGGCUCAACCUGGGAACUGCAUCCGAAACUGGCAGGCUAGAGUCUUGUAGAGGGGGGUAGAAUUCCAGGUGUAGCGGUGAAAUGCGUAGAGAUCUGGAGGAAUACCGGUGGCGAAGGCGGCCCCCUGGACAAAGACUGACGCUCAGGUGCGAAAGCGUGGGGAGCAAACAGGAUUAG
This 311-nucleotide ribosomal RNA is filed under the name uncultured bacterium. RNAcentral's name for it is "bacterial SSU rRNA". It matches the Rfam family "Bacterial small subunit ribosomal RNA", at positions 471 to 781 of the family's 1533-position model. The record is from RNAcentral.